AUGCUUUGCAUAUUCGUGCUCUUGGGUGUACUUGCCCGUGUGGUUGGUUAACAUCAAUUUUGGUGGUCAUAAAAUGACUGGAGGAAUGUAGCUUCGAUCUUGUAUUGAAGUGUUAUAGCCUUCGGUAGAUGUGAUUAUCGAGAUUGAGGAUUGCAACGGAUACCCUUCGGGGCUACCUGUCUGGUCUCUGAUCGUUGCUCUGGUGCCGAAAGCUUGCUUACGGUUAUCAAAGUCGAUGGUCAAUAGGUUAGAACGGGUUAAA
This 262-nucleotide ribosomal RNA is filed under the name uncultured Rhizophagus. RNAcentral describes it as "partial 28S ribosomal RNA". The record is from RNAcentral. Lineage: Eukaryota; Fungi; Glomeromycota; Glomeromycetes; Glomerales; Glomeraceae.